UUGGAUGUAGCUCUGUGGUAGUGUACUUGCUUAGCAGGUAUGAAACCCUGGGUUUAAUCCCCAGCAUACACA
This 72-nucleotide transfer RNA is filed under the name Marmota monax (woodchuck). It matches the Rfam family "tRNA". Rfam says of the family: Transfer RNA (tRNA) molecules are approximately 80 nucleotides in length. Their secondary structure includes four short double-helical elements and three loops (D, anti-codon, and T loops). The record is from Rfam by way of RNAcentral. Lineage: Eukaryota; Metazoa; Chordata; Mammalia; Rodentia; Sciuridae. RNAcentral also lists the same sequence under 2 other names.